RNAcentral lists this ribosomal RNA (254 nucleotides) under uncultured bacterium. RNAcentral's name for it is "partial 16S ribosomal RNA". It matches the Rfam family "Bacterial small subunit ribosomal RNA", at positions 524 to 776 of the family's 1533-position model. The record is from RNAcentral.
UACGUAGGGUGCAAGCGUUAAUCGGAAUUACUGGGCGUAAAGCGUGCGCAGGCGGUGAUGUAAGACAGGUGUGAAAUCCCCGGGCUUAACCUGGGAACUGCAUUUGUGACUGCAUCGCUGGAGUGCGGCAGAGGGGGAUGGAAUUCCGCGUGUAGCAGUGAAAUGCGUAGAUAUGCGGAGGAACACCGAUGGCGAAGGCAAUCCCCUGGGCCUGCACUGACGCUCAUGCACGAAAGCGUGGGGGAGCAAACAGG